GACGAACGCUGGCGGCGUGCCUAAUACAUGCAAGUAGAGCGCUGAAGGACGGUCUUUGUCUUAAGUGGAUGUGCAGCGAACGGGUGAGUAACGUGUGGGACAUCCCUGGUAGAGGGGGGGACAACUUGGGGAAACGAACUCUAACAGCGUAUAAGAACAUGAAACAUGAGAUUUACUUAAGAAAGACACAUUCGCCACACCCAAAUAGAAUUGCGCGUUGUAUGAGCUAGUUGGUGGGGUAAAGGCUCACCAAGGCGAAGAUACAUAGCCGACCUGAGAGGGUGAUCGGCCACACUGGGACUGAGACACGGCCCAGACUCCUACGGGAGGCAGCAGUAGGGAAUCUUCGGCAAUGGACGGAAGUCUGACCGAGCAACGCCGCGUGAGUGAAGAAGGUUUUCGGAUCGUAAAGCUCUGUUGGUAGAGAAGAACGAGUGUGAGAGUGGAAAGCUCACACUGUGACGGUAACUUACCAGAAAGGGACGGCUAACUACGUG
This 497-nucleotide ribosomal RNA is filed under the name uncultured bacterium. RNAcentral describes it as "partial 16S ribosomal RNA". It matches the Rfam family "Bacterial small subunit ribosomal RNA", at positions 28 to 507 of the family's 1533-position model. The record is from RNAcentral.